RNAcentral lists this unclassified non-coding RNA (348 nucleotides) under soil metagenome. RNAcentral's name for it is "partial contains 5.8S ribosomal RNA, internal transcribed spacer 2, and large subunit ribosomal RNA". The stretch from base 1 to 121 matches the Rfam family "5.8S ribosomal RNA", at positions 35 to 154 of the family's 154-position model. The record is from RNAcentral.
GAUGAAGAACGCAGCGAAAUGCGAUAAGUAAUGCGAAUUGCAGAAUUUCCGUGAAUCAUCGAAUCUUUGAACGCACAUUGCGCCUCCUGGUAGUCCGGGAGGCAUGCCUGUUCGAGCGUCACCAAAUCCAACUCAAGCGGUUUUGCGCUUGGUCGUGGCGGAAGAGUCGGUCUGGUUGCCGUCUCCCCUCCGAAAAUCAACGGCGGAAAGUCACUGGCAGUCAGCGUAGUAGUAUCGUUCGCCGAACAUCCAGUGGCAUUCCUGCCGACGUACCCCCACAAUUCUCGUGAUUGACCUCGGAUCAGGUAGGGAUACCCGCUGAACUUAAGCAUAUCAAUAAGCGGAGGA